Molecule: ribosomal RNA, 230 nt
Filed under: uncultured Alicycliphilus sp.
Lineage: Bacteria; Pseudomonadati; Pseudomonadota; Betaproteobacteria; Burkholderiales; Comamonadaceae
Description: partial 16S ribosomal RNA
Rfam family: Bacterial small subunit ribosomal RNA
Source: RNAcentral
AGCUGAUCAUUGGGUGUAAAGGGUGCGCAGGCGGUUUUGUAAGACAGAGGUGAAAUCCCCGGGCUCAACCUGGGAACUGCCUUUGUGACUGCAAGGCUGGAGUGCGGCAGAGGGGGAUGGAAUUCCGCGUGUAGCAGUGAAAUGCGUAGAUAUGCGGAGGAACACCGAUGGCGAAGGCAAUCCCCCGGGCCUGCACUGACGCUCAUGCACGAAAGCGUGGGGAGCAAACA